AAGGGUCAUGUUCAGGCCAACGUAUUGAACAACAAUCAUUUCAAACGGAGUUAGGCUAAGAUUAUACUAACUUCUACAUCGUUUAUAACAUUUGUAGUGUGCAUACUGUAGAAUUAGUAGUUGGAAAGGUCAAAUUACAAAAAUUAGUGAGCAACAUAGUGCCUAAUGGAUUAUCGUCGUUUACCCAAUUGUUUUCCUCCUACAUAAAUAAUCUUAUGCGUAAUUCUAUAUAUCCAUUUCUCCCUAAACUAAUUUCAGUCCAGCAUUUCACUAAGCCAAGCUCCUCUAGCCUGGGUAUUCUGGAACGGAUAGAAACUGGCCAUGUCGACUGCCUGUAAAAGUGGCCUGCUCCGAGCUUAGAUAUCCAUUUAUCAGCAUAACGACUCAUCUUAACUGCCUCCUGAAAUCUGGGGUUUAGCCUAGUGCAUGGAUAGAAUCAUGGGAAAUUGUCGACCUCAAAAGUCAUUCACGUCGAUUUUCUAAAAAAAUAUUGUAUGCUAACAUUCACUUUCAACUGUAUGUUACGUUAAAGGAAAGCCAUAUUUCAUUACUAGAAUAAUAACAGAGCAAAAGUUACAAACAG
This 583-nucleotide long non-coding RNA is filed under the name Olea europaea subsp. europaea. Lineage: Eukaryota; Viridiplantae; Streptophyta; Magnoliopsida; Lamiales; Oleaceae. The record is from RNAcentral.